AUUGAACGCUGGCGGCAUGCUUUACACAUGCAAGUCGAACGGCAGCGCGGGCUUCGGCCUGGCGGCGAGUGGCGAACGGGUGAGUAAUGCAUCGGAACGUGCCCAGUAGUUGGGGAUAGCCCGGCGAAAGCCGGAUUAAUACCGCAUACGACCUGAGGGUGAAAGCGGGGGACCGAAAGGCCUCGCGCUAUUUGAGCGGCCGAUGUCGGAUUAGCUAGUUGGUGGGGUAAAGGCUUACCAAGGCGACGAUCCGUAGCUGGUCUGAGAGGACGACCAGCCACACUGGGACUGAGACACGGCCCAGACUCCUACGGGAGGCAGCAGUGGGGAAUUUUGGACAAUGGGGGCAACCCUGAUCCAGCCAUGCCGCGUGCGGGAAGAAGGCCUUCGGGUUGUAAACCGCUUUUGUUCGGGAAGAAAUCCUCUGGGCUAAUACCCCGGGGGGAUGACGGUACCGGAAGAAUAAGCACCGGCUAACUACGUG
Molecule: ribosomal RNA, 484 nt
Filed under: uncultured bacterium
Lineage: Bacteria
Description: partial 16S ribosomal RNA
Rfam family: Bacterial small subunit ribosomal RNA
Source: RNAcentral